UGGCCUGUCAGCCUAUAUUACAAAGAAUAUUAUUUGUUAUUUUAUGAUAUAUUAUUAUAUUAAUAUUGCUAUUAUAGUAAUUUUAUUUUGCUGUAUUAGUAAUAAUAUAGGACGAACUAUUUUUUAGCUGAAAACAUUGUACUCAUUAUAUUAUUUUUAUUUUCAAUAGCUUCCAGUAUCUACAUUAGUACAGCUCAGCGAUUUCAACUUUGCAAUGUAUAAAUAAAAGAUUACAUAAUGCUGUUGUAUUUACUGGAGCGAUUGUAUUUGAGCGGUGGUAUGGUGCUUGGUGCUUAAAGUUGGCCAUAGAGAAUUAAAAAUCGAUAACGAAUACAGCAAGCGCUUGAAAACAGGAUGUUUUAAUAAUUUACCAUCGAAAAAAUAUAAAUCGUUUGAAUAAAUAUUAAAAUGCAUUAAUGACUUGAACUCGAUCGUGAAAACAUAAUAUAUCUCCAGUUUUAAGAACAACAUGGACAAUUAAAACAUAAUAAUAAUCAACAAGCUGUGUCAAACAUGGAUCUAGGACUUUUUGCAUAAUGCUAUUACGGAGAUAAAAGGUACUAUAUAUUUGAACCAACUACUAUUUACUACUUCUACAAUAUCUCAACCACUUCAUCGACAAAUUAAAUUAAUAAUCAAGUAUAAAAAAUUACUGCAAACUCUGAUGCAAUCACUAUGUCAAUGAUAAACGAUUUAUUAUUGUGCGGUAGAAAUUAUAAUAUUACUCAAAAUUGUAUAAAGCGAUUCGUCGAGUAGAUAUGUAUAAAAGGUAAGUACAUAAACAACAAAUUAAAAAUAGGUAUUUUAUUUCUCAAGAUAAAUAAUAUAUUAUACAUAGGUAUUACAUAUGUAGGUAUUUAUAAUUAUAAUAAUUGGUAGCAAAAAAAAAAAAAAAAAUGUAAAAACUUUUUUUUUUUUUU
Long non-coding RNA from Aphis gossypii (cotton aphid), 920 nucleotides. RefSeq lists it as uncharacterized. The record is from RefSeq and is a predicted model, not a curated record. NCBI's taxonomy places the organism in Eukaryota, Metazoa, Arthropoda, Insecta, Hemiptera, Aphididae. The transcript is spliced from 5 exons.